UCAGUGUGAGGGAAGGAUGGUGUAGUUAAUAACUGCGCAUUUUGACGUUAGCAACAGAAGAAGCACCGCUAACUCCGUGCCAGCAGCCGCGGUAAUACGGAGGGUGCGAGCGUUAAUCGGAAUUACUGGGCGUAAAGCGCAUGCAGGUGGUUUGUUAAGUCAGAUGUGAAAGCCCGGGGCUCAACCUCGGAAGGUCAUUUGAAACUGGCAAACUAGAGUACUGUAGAGGGGGGUAGAAUUUCAGGUGUAGCGGUGAAAUGCGUAGAGAUCUGAAGGAAUACCAGUGGCGAAGGCGGCCCCCUGGACAGAUACUGACACUCAGAUGCGAAAGCGUGGGGAGCAAACAGGAUUAGAUACCCUGGUAGUCCACGCCGUAAACGAUGUCUACUUGGAGGUUGUGGCCUUGAGCCGUGGCUUUCGGAGCUAACGCGUUAAGUAGACCGCCUGGGGAGUACGGUCGCAAGAUUAAAACUCAAAUGAAUUGACGGGGGCCCGCACAAGCGGUGGAGCAUGUGGUUUAAUUCGAUGCAACGCGAAGAACCUUACCUACUCUUGACAUCCAGAGAACUUUCCAGAGAUGGAUUGGUGCCUUCGGGAACUCUGAGACAGGUGCUGCAUGGCUGUCGUCAGCUCGUGUUGUGAAAUGUUGGGUUAAGUCCCGCAACGAGCGCAACCCUUAUCCUUGUUUGCCAGCGAGUAAUGUCGGGAACUCCAGGGAGACUGCCGGUGAUAAACCGGAGGAAGGUGGGGACGACGUCAAGUCAUCAUGGCCCUUACGAGUAGGGCUACACACGUGCUACAAUGGCGCAUACAGAGGGCAGCAAGCUAGCGAUAGUGAGCGAAUCCCAAAAAGUGCGUCGUAGUCCGGAUUGGAGUCUGCAACUCGACUCCAUGAAGUCGGAAUCGCUAGUAAUCGUGGAUCAGAAUGCCACGGUGAAUACGUUCCCGGGCCUUGUACACACCGCCCGUCACACCAUGGGAGUGGGCUGCAAAAGAAGUAGGUAGUUUAACCUUCGGGAGGACGCUUACCAC
This 1032-nucleotide ribosomal RNA is filed under the name Vibrio sp. SM5-2. Its description in RNAcentral is "bacterial SSU rRNA". It matches the Rfam family "Bacterial small subunit ribosomal RNA", at positions 434 to 1460 of the family's 1533-position model. Lineage: Bacteria; Pseudomonadati; Pseudomonadota; Gammaproteobacteria; Vibrionales; Vibrionaceae. The record is from RNAcentral.